GAAAACCUAAAGUUUUGAUACUGUCGUUUAGGAUUUCCAACAAAGAUGUGGCUCUCAGGAAGUUUAAGGUUUUCUUCUCCUCCUUUCCUUCUCAAGUUUCCUUCUUUUCUUCCAAUCCUCACUUCCUUCUUUUGCUCUCAUUCUCACUCCCAAACCUUCUUACACCACGAAGCUAUCUCAAAAUUCAAUCGCUUGCUUCAUAUGCCUGAGGUUCCUCCCAUCUUCGAAUUUGGAAAGAUUUUGGGAUUCCUUGGGAAGACGAAGCACUAUCCUACUGCUAUUUUUCUCAGUAAGCAAAUGGAACUCAAGGGAAUUCAGCCUAAUCUUGUUACUCUCAACAUCCUCAUCAAUUGUUUUUGUCACUUAGACCAAUUGGCCUUAGCUUUAUCUGUAUUUGCCAAGAUUCUCAAACUGGGUUAUCACCCAAAUGACAUAACAUUAACUACACUCAUCAGAGGUCUCUGUGAUAAGGGCGAGAUCAAAAAAGCACUCUACUUUCACGACAAAGUAGUAGCACUAGGAUUUCCACUCGACCAGUUCACUUACGGGACUCUGAUCAAUGGAUUGUGCAGAAUAGGGGAAACUAAAACUGCCAUCGAGUUGCUCAGAAGGAUUGAAGGUCGAUCAACGGUAAUGUACAGUAUAAUUAUUGACCGUCUAUUCAAAGAUAAACUUCCAAAAGAAGCAUAUGAUAUGUAUUCUGAAAUGGUUGUGAAGGGAAUUUCUCGAGAUGUUGUUACCUAUACUACUCUAGUUUAUGGCUUGUGCUCUGUUAAUCAGUUAGAACAAGCGUUAGGAUUGAUAAAUGAAAUGCUAUCAAAUAGCAUCCAGCCAAAUGUUUAUACCUAUAGUAUAUUGAUUAAUGCAUUGGGUAAGCAAGGAAAGCUAAGAGAAGCCAAGAAUGUAUUGGGUGUGAUGGUGAAAGUUUAUAUGAAACUUAAUGAUUUUAGCUUUAAUGCUUUAAUGGAUGGGUAUUGCUUUGUUAAUGAAGUGAAUAUUGCUAAACAAGUAUUCAAUGCAAUGACCCACAUGAGAGUGAGUCCUACUUUAUACAGCUAUAAUAUCAUGAUAAAUGGACUCAUAAUCAACGAUAGGGUGGAUGAGGCCAUAAAUUUAUUUCAGGAAAUGCACAAGAGGAAUGUCAUUCCUAAUACAGUAACUUACAAUAUUAUUAUAGAUGGUUAUUGCAAAUUUGGAAGAAUAGAUUAUGUUUGGGAUCUUAUUGACAAGAUGCACUGUAGUAAUCAUCAACCAGACACCAUCACUUACAGUUGUUUGUUAGAUGCUUUAUGCAAAAACCACCAUCUAGACAAAGCAUUUGACUUAUUCAAAACAAUGAUGGAAAAAGGAAUUCAGCCGGAUAUGUACACAUGGAGCAUACUUAUUAAUGGAAUGUGCAAAGGGGGAAGACUUGAGAAGGCACAAGAGAUCUUUCAAGAUCUUUUAAUUAAAGGCUACCCUUUAGAUGUAUGUAAUUAUAGUACUAUGAUCAAUGGUCUUUGUAAAGAGGGUUUACUUGAUGAGGCAUUGACCUUAUGGUCCAAAAUGGAAGACAAUGGUUGUUUGCCUGAUGCACUAGCUUUCGAAAUAAUGAUUAGGGCUCUCUUUGAAAAGGACAAGACUGAUAUGGCAGAGACAUUUCUUUGUGAAAUGAUCUCUAGAGGUUUGAUAAAAGGUGAAACCUUAUUUAUUAGAGGAGUGUUACCUUUCUGCAACUUAUUUUUUACAUGCUGGAUGUGGAGUUGAUAUUUUUUUAUUUUGUACCCUGCAUUUUGAUUGCUAUAGAACUUCUGUUUUCUUUGACUUUGCAUUUUUAUUGUAGAAUUUGUUUAACUGAUUAGUACAGGGUUUGAAAUGAAUGAUUUCAUUGUCUUUCUAGACCAAAAUGGUGACGUCGCUUCCUGUCUAAAAUCUGGAUGGCUUUUUUAUUUUUAACUGUUUGAUAUUCCCCAUUCAUGUUCGUCAGAACCCAAAUAUGUUUUUUCUGUAGGGCUUUUUCAGUGUUACACCUAAGGGAAGCUAUAUUUCUUUCAUUAUUAUAGAAAUCACAUUUUCAUAUAGAAAUAUAGUUUAAGUGUGCAAGGAAAUAAGGUUGGGAGGGACAAGGAAGAAAAACAGUGGAUAUACUUAGGACAAUCCCAAUUCCCAUGAUAAUAGAUAAUGCACAGCUAUUGAGCAUUUGGUGGGGAAAUUGUUGGACAAAAGUUUCAAGUUCAUUUUACUUUUAGAAGUUAUCUAUCACAUAAUAAGAUUAUUUAAGAAGUGUACAAUCAUACCAUAUUACCUUAUUGUUAUUUUGAUAUAACUCAUUACAAGUUUUCUAUUAUUUAAAUAAGCUUCAAUCCAAUGAAACGAGGGGCCAUUAAUAAAUCAGUGAAAUUCUAUAAUAUGCUCUUUGUUUACAAAAUAAUCAGUUUUGCUGGAUAAAUACUACUGCUGCUGUUAAACAGAGAAAUGCUAGACACAAUAUUGAUCUUUGACAUCUAAGAUCAGAACAUCUAUCUACUAGGAGAUUGGAUGUAAUGAAAUACAAAUAUUAUUUUGUUGUUCAUAGUAGCAAAGAUCUUAUCUGUUAUACUUGCCAUCUUGCUAAACAGAAGGAACCUUCUUUCUCUGCUAGUAAUUCUCAUGCUGAAAAUAGUUUUGAUCUCAUACAUGUGCAUAUUUACGGACCAUGUUCUAGCAUUUCUAUAAAUGGAUACUGAUAUUUUUUUACUAUUGUUGGUGAUAAUACUCGUUUUAGCUUGUUUGAUUAAAUUUAUUGAGUGUGUAAAAACUCAGUUUCAGAAAGUGUGUUAGAACUGAUGAUGGUUUGGAAUUUAAGACGAGUGAUUACUUUGAAACAUCAGAACAAAAUGCUCUAGUUGAACGGAAAUACCAACAUAUUUUAAAUCUUACUAGAUUUUCCUUUUCAAGCUAAUCUUUCUUAUCAAUUCUGUAGCUUUGCUGUUAUUCAUGCUGUUUUCUUGAUAAACUGUAUUCCUGCACAUUUCCUUGAUAAUAUCUCGCCUUUUGAAAAGUUAUAUGACAAGCUAAGUGAUAUAUUUAUACUUGUUUGAUUUUUAAAUUUUCAGAAAAAGAAAAAAGAAAAAAGAAGAGGCUAACAGCUGCUGUGGUGCGAGAAUUGGAGUUGAGCAGUUUUGAGCAAUCAUUGAAGAACAACUUGUAAUAUGUUUGACUUGUUGCUGUCAAUUGAAGACUUGAACGAAACCAACCCACACAACCUGGACCUGCCAAGUCAAAGAGAAAGAAACAGUUUGAGUUCAAGCAAUGCAACCUGCGCUGACCUCUUGGAUUAUAUCUGAAUAAAGGAGCUUGAAGAGUCAAUUUAUCUGCGCUGACCUCUUGGUACAAAAUAAGUAUGCUCCAACAGUACAUAUCCGGCUGGAUUCCUUUUUCAUCUUUGUCUCUUAUAAUUCAAAUGCUUUGUCUAUAUGAUAGAUUUUGCAUGAAGCAUCUAACAAACAAUCAUAAGUAAUUUUGUUUGGUUGUUGAUUUCUAUCAUGCAUCUCGUCAAUAUGACCCAUAAGAGGAUUGUAAGUUACUUUCAUUUAUGUAUUUUCUGAAAGAGAUUUAUGUAUCUUAUCGUUCCUUAUGAAUCCAUUUAUCAUGAUAUUGUAGCUUGGAAACAAUAGGACUCACUCUCAAGCAUUGCAUUGAAUACUUGUUUCAUUGAAUACUUGUUUCGCAUCUUCACUUCAUUAACUAAUUAAUACCCAUCCAUUAAAGUAUUAAAGCUAAAAUCAGUAGGCUUCACAUAGGCUUUCACCAUCAUACCCAAUAUCUUCGCUGUGCUUAACCAUAAUUAAAGCAUAAUUCUAAUACCACUGUCUUAACGACAAACUAAAACUUUAUUCACUAAAUAUAAUCAAAUUCAAAAAUUAAUAUUCUUAACUUUAACUAAAAUCAAUGAUUACAAAAAUAAUACAUUUUCGAAAUAUAAUUACUAAAAUAAUCAUAGAUUCUCUCCAACGUAAUUCAUAGAACUAUUCAUCAUCAUUGUGUCUCUUCUGAUAUAAAAAUAUCAUCAUAGUAGUCACACACACAAAAUAAAGAAAAAUAAGGAUAUAAAGAAAAAUAAGGAUGAGCUAACUCACAAACAAUAUAAUUCACAAUCAUGAUUCAUAACAGAAUAAUAUAUCCCAUAACAUUAUAUCCAUAUUUUGCAGUUUAUAGCAUCAGUUGUCUCGUACAACAAUACAAAACUCAAGUGAUGUCAACAUAAAGCAUCGACUCAAAGAAAGUCACCUUAUAAAUUACUUUCACAGUAAUUUCACCUCGACUAAAAAUAAGAUAAAAAAAUUUAGAUAUAUAUAUAUAUAUAUGGGUGUAGACCUUACUCUACAAACCAGUUUUAUGAGGUUGAGUUAGAUUUAAAUUCACUUCUCAACAUUAUAUCAAGGUCAUGAGUUAAAGUAUGUCAUAGCGAUAUUUGUGUUUGUUAGACAUAUCAUUUCACUCGCUAUCAGACCACUCAUUAAUGUUCAGUCUUACGCAUGAUAUCAAUAUACCUUGAGGUGAGGGUGAUGUGUUGGUAGUUCCACAUUAACUAGAGAUAUGAUUAAUUUAGAAUAUGUUGAAAGUUUAUUUUUUUUGGAGUUGAAAUAGACUUAAAGUGCACUUCUUAAUAAUUAGGAAAAUAAAAUUUUAACACCAUUUUUUGACACCAUUUUAACACUGCACACGUGUCAAAAUGUGAUUGGACGAUUUCAAAUUAAAAAAUAAACUUUAGUUUUUUUCUUCCAAACAUACCCCUGUUCCAACUUUUUUAAUUUGAAAUCGUCUAAUCACAUUUUGACACGUGUACAGUGUCAAAAUAGUGUCAAAAAAUGGUGUUAAAAUAUCAUUUUCCUAAUAAUUAUACUCUUUUGAGAACUAAACAAAUAUCAAAUUUUCACUUACAACUCAAUCACAUGGCUUACUAAAACCCCUAUAUCCAGAUUCUUUAGACAAAGUUCAUUCCCUCAUUGCUUUUUCCAAAAAGACUCAUGCAUGAAGGUUACCAGUUAUACUACCAUGCAGAAUCUAUUAGUCAUUCACUUUCAUAAAGCUAAAACCUCUCCUAUUCACUAAAAUUGAGUUCACUUCUCAAUACUCUGCUAAGGAGAUUAAUUAGCAUAAUACGUAAAUUGUCACCCACAAUUACUUUUUAUUAAAACUCAAAGACACAACAAAUACUUUUAAUACCAAAACAUAAUAACAAAAAUACCCACCACACCAAGGUCAUCAAUGGCCAAACACAGUGCUAAUUUUUCAUCCGUGGUACUCUAACAGAAGUAAUUGCCAAAACGUUUCAGCUUUGUCCCCUAAAAACUACUAGUAUUUACUCUUGUAACUCACACGGUAUUUUACAAUGCAAUGUUAAUAUUUUUUUCUUUUUUUAAAGAUGUGUAUAAUUAUUCAUGACAUUUAUUCAAUUAAUAAUUAAUAAUAAUAUUUAAAAAUAAGUAAAUUUUUAAUAAUUUUCAUAUUUUUAAUAAAUAAUAUUAGUUUCUAAAUAUCAAAAGUUCAGGUUUAUUGUUAACAUAAAUAUAACAAUUCAUUUUUAUGUCAACAGUAAUAUCUCUAAUAUUGUAAUACUGUUAUAUUAUUAUAGUUUAACAGUGUAAUAGUAUCAUAAUCUUAUAGUAAAAUAGUUUAAUAUUCAUAAUAUAAUAGUCUAAUAACGUAAUAUUGUAAUAAUGUUAUAAUAUAAUAUUUUUAUAGUAUAACACUCUAACAGUGUAAUAGUAUAAUAUUAUAAUAAUUUUAUAGUAUUAUAAUCUAAUAUUAUACUAGAACAGUGUAAUUAUAGAAUAAUAUUAUCUAAUUAUAAAUAUAUUUGUUUACUUAAGAAUCUUAUAUUGUUAUAUAUGUACGAAAGCCACAAAAAUAGUUAGAUGAUUAUUUUCGUAAAAUUUCACUUUUGAUUGCGGUUAUAUAAAAUGUGACUUUUUUUUUUUUAUGUAAGUUAUAGAAAUAAUUAUUUAUUCAUUUUAAUAUUUUUUUCAACUAAAACAUAAUAUGGAAAUCAAAAUAUCUAAUUUUUAAAAAAAACUUAUAAAAGAAGUUUUAACGGAUUCUUUUUUCAAAAAUGUAAAUAGAGAAAACAUACAUAUUCAAUUUCAUAGAAAAACUUAGUUCUUAUUUUUGUAUGAAAUUAUUUGUGAAUUAAAUUAACAUGAAAAUUACUCGCAGAAUUUAAAUUUAUAGUAAAAUGUAUUUGCUGUUUUUCAAAUAAACGAUAAAGAAUUUUACAGGGAAUUUAUUUUCACAUCAAAAAUUUUUAAAGAUUAUUUUUAUAAAAGAAUUUGUAAAAAAAAAUUAUUAAUGUUUAUAUCCUUUAAUAACUAGUUAUUAACGAAUAAAUUCCUUAGUCAUCAAAAUUGGUAAGAAAAAUAAUAAAUAACGCUUUUGAUUUAAAUAUUUUAAUAAAAUAACAUACAAUUUUUUUUUAUUAAAUAUCAAAACUUCUAGUGUUACAUAUACACAUACUAAAGUAGAACUAAUUUUCUUAAUCUGUUGAAUUUGAGUGUUUAUAUUUUUGUAUUUAACAAUUAAGAUGUUGAUAUUGGUGAAAGGUAGGAAUGAAAAGAAAUAUACAUGAGAAAAUUUCCAAAAUAAAUUAUAGUGAAUAUUUAAUUUUAUUAUCUAAUUUUGAUGAGUUAAAUUUAAUAUUUAUAGUCAUAUAUAAAUUUAAAUACAGCAUUUCUAUUACUAUUUUCGAUAUUCAAGUCUAAUAUAUAAUAUAAGUUUAGGUGAAAAAAAAAAUUAACUAUGUUGUGGAGUAAUUAAUUUUAAGUAUAUAAAAGUUUAAUUUUUUAUUUUUUUUCUUUACUGUUGUAAUAUAGACAGAAAAUGCUUACUCAAAAUAUUAUAAUUUUAAAAUAUAAUUAAAAAUAAAAUAAAAUAUAACAUAUUUUCUUACUUUUUAUUAUUAUUAUUAUUAUUAUAUAUAUAUAUAUAUACAUAUAUAUAUAUAUAUNNNNNNNNNNNNNNNNNNNNNNNNNNNNNNNNNNNNNNNNNNNNNNNNNNAUAUAUAUAUAUAUAUAUAUAUAUAUAUAUAUAUAUAUAUAUAUAUAUAUAUAUAUAUAUAUAUAUAUAUAUAUAUAUAUUUUGAUAAAUUAUAUUUAAAUUUGUUAUAACAUAUUUAUUAUCAUUUUUGUUGGCAAUAAUUUAAUUGUCAUCCCAAAACCUAACUUCUAUCUUCAGCAAUGAUGUCGCCCUCAAGAUUUUCUUCUCUUCCUAAGUUUCCUCCUUUUUUUCCAAUCCUCAAUUCUCUCUUUUGUUCUCACUCUCACUCCCAAACCUUCUUACAGUAUGAAGCUAUCUCACAAUUCAAUCGCUUGCUUCAUAUGCCUGAGGUUCCUUCCAUCUUCGAAUUUGGAAAGAUUUUGGGAUUCCUUGUGAAGAAGAAGCACUGUCCUACUGUUAUCUCUCUCAGUAAGCAAAUGGAACUCAAGGGAAUUCAGCCUAACCUUGUUACUCUCAACAUCCUCAUCAAUUGUUUUUGUCACUUAGACCAAUUGGCCUUAGCUUUCUCUGUAUUUGCCAAGAUUCUCAAACUGGGUUAUCACCCAGAUGACAUAACAUUAACUACACUCAUCAGAGGUCUCUGUGAUAAGGGUGAGAUCAUGAAAGCACUCGACUUUCACGACAAAGUAGUAGCACUGGGAUUUCAGCUCGACCAAUUUGCUUACGGGACUCUGAUCAAUGGAUUGUGCAAGGUAGGAGAAACUAAAGCUGCCAUCGACUUAUUUAGAAGGAUUGAAGGUCGAUCAACUGUAAUUUACAAUAUAAUUAUUGAUUGUCUAUUCAAAGAUAAACGUCCAAAAGAAGCUUA
This 7822-nucleotide long non-coding RNA is filed under the name Vigna radiata. RNAcentral's name for it is "long non-coding RNA (VRAD_LNC000233)". Lineage: Eukaryota; Viridiplantae; Streptophyta; Magnoliopsida; Fabales; Fabaceae. The record is from RNAcentral.